Long non-coding RNA from Rosa chinensis, 642 nucleotides. RefSeq lists it as uncharacterized. The transcript is spliced from 4 exons. NCBI's taxonomy places the organism in Eukaryota, Viridiplantae, Streptophyta, Magnoliopsida, Rosales, Rosaceae. The record is from RefSeq and is a predicted model, not a curated record.
CUGAUGGGACGGUCUGGCGUUAGGGCGUCAAGGGGAAGCUGGCAAAUGCUAGAGGGGAGAAGAAGGAAGAGAAGCAAUAUCUGGAUAAACGCUUCGAUACUGGAACUCAUGCAAGCUUAAGCUCAAGCUCGUCAAGCCAAGCCAAGCUCAAACACUAGUAAUUAAGCUCAAUCAAGGACUUAUCUGGAAUGAACCAAAACUAUUUUAGACCAACAGAUGCCGUCAGUUUAGCCUUGACAUUGACCAGGUCCAACGCGCAUGAGACAGGGAAGAUGAAACUGUAAGGCAAAACUUUUGGUGAAAUCAGGAGUGGCGUCGAGUGUGGUGAAAUCCCUAAUCAACUCAUCGUCUGCCUCGUUAGAAGUCACACCGCCAAAUGGAUGCAGAGAAGGGCAUAGCUUGUGGGUGUUGUCAUCUUAGCUUUACAAUAAUGAGUGUUCCUGGAACUGCAUAAGAGAAUAGAGUGCUUGUAGUAUGAGGCUGGCGGGGAUGGAGGACACGGCGGAGCUGCUGGAGAAGAAGCUAGCGUCGGAAAUUUCGAAGAUGAGCUUAGAGGAGGCACUCACUCUCGCUCGUGCUUUCAGCCAUUACCUCAAUUUGUUGGGCAUUGCUGAAGCUCAUCACAGGUCACUCAACGACUUG